RNAcentral lists this ribosomal RNA (253 nucleotides) under uncultured bacterium. RNAcentral's name for it is "partial 16S ribosomal RNA". It matches the Rfam family "Bacterial small subunit ribosomal RNA", at positions 524 to 776 of the family's 1533-position model. The record is from RNAcentral.
UACGAAGGGGGCAAGCGUUGUCCGGAUUUACUGGGCGUAAAGAGCGCGAAGGCGGUCGUUCAAGUCGGGUGUGAAAGCCCCCGGCUCAACUGGGGAGGGUCACGCGAUACUGAUCGACUCGAAGGCAGGAGAGGGUAGUGGAAUUCCCAGUGUAGCGGUGAAAUGCGCAGAUAUCAGGAGGAACACCGGUGGCGAAGGCGGGUCUCUGGGCCGAUACUGACGCUGAGGAGCGAAAGCGUGGGGAGCGAACAGG